GCCGCGGUAGUAUAGCCCGGCUAUUAUGCGGGCCUGUCGAGCCCGUGACCCGGGUUCAAAUCCCGGCCGCGGCGCCA
RNAcentral lists this transfer RNA (77 nucleotides) under Ignisphaera aggregans. RNAcentral's name for it is "tRNA-Asp". It matches the Rfam family "tRNA". From Rfam's summary of the family: Transfer RNA (tRNA) molecules are approximately 80 nucleotides in length. Their secondary structure includes four short double-helical elements and three loops (D, anti-codon, and T loops). Further hydrogen bonds mediate the characteristic L-shaped molecular structure. tRNAs have two regions of fundamental functional importance: the anti-codon, which is responsible for specific mRNA codon recognition, and the 3' end, to which the tRNAs corresponding amino acid is attached (by aminoacyl-tRNA synthetases). tRNAs cope with the degeneracy of the genetic code in two manners: having more than one tRNA (with a specific anti-codon) for a particular amino acid; and 'wobble' base-pairing, i.e. permitting non-standard base-pairing at the 3rd anti-codon position. Lineage: Archaea; Thermoproteati; Thermoproteota; Thermoprotei; Desulfurococcales; Desulfurococcaceae. RNAcentral also lists the same sequence under 1 other name. The record is from RNAcentral.